GGCCAAGAUGGCUCAGUUGGCAGAGCGGCGCACUCGUAAUGCGCAGGUCCGGGGUUCGAUUCCCCGUCUUGGCUU
This 75-nucleotide transfer RNA is filed under the name Spirochaetia bacterium. RNAcentral's name for it is "tRNA-Thr". It matches the Rfam family "tRNA". From Rfam's summary of the family: Transfer RNA (tRNA) molecules are approximately 80 nucleotides in length. Their secondary structure includes four short double-helical elements and three loops (D, anti-codon, and T loops). Further hydrogen bonds mediate the characteristic L-shaped molecular structure. tRNAs have two regions of fundamental functional importance: the anti-codon, which is responsible for specific mRNA codon recognition, and the 3' end, to which the tRNAs corresponding amino acid is attached (by aminoacyl-tRNA synthetases). tRNAs cope with the degeneracy of the genetic code in two manners: having more than one tRNA (with a specific anti-codon) for a particular amino acid; and 'wobble' base-pairing, i.e. permitting non-standard base-pairing at the 3rd anti-codon position. Lineage: Bacteria; Pseudomonadati; Spirochaetota; Spirochaetia. The record is from RNAcentral.